GAACUGCUGAGGAGUCCCAUAACAUGACGAAACGGACGUCCAGUGC
RNAcentral lists this non-coding RNA (46 nucleotides) under Schistosoma mansoni. The record is from RNAcentral. Lineage: Eukaryota; Metazoa; Platyhelminthes; Trematoda; Strigeidida; Schistosomatidae.